Molecule: unclassified non-coding RNA, 6288 nt
Organism: Acanthaster planci (crown-of-thorns starfish)
Lineage: Eukaryota; Metazoa; Echinodermata; Asteroidea; Valvatida; Acanthasteridae
Source: RefSeq, a predicted model, not a curated record
UAAGUCACGGACGAGGAGUCGUCACCAACAAAAUGGCGGAAAACGUGGAGAGUGUAGAUGCUCGAACCGCUGAAAUUCUUCAGGCCGUAGCUCGUCAUGUCAACUGCCUCUCCGAAAACAACCGUGCUACCAAAAAGCGGGCACUUGAAAGCAUCCGCAGAGAAACUUUGGGCAAGAAGCCGGCUCUGGACCCUGCUGUACUGCAGCGUGUGUUUGAAAGCUUACUGAAACAGCUUUUGAAAUGCUUCUCAGACUGCGUUGAAAAAUGUCGUGAGCUGGCAGUCGAUGUUGUGUCAGAUUUUCUCGACGCUGUACCAACGCCAGAGGGGCCAUUGCCGUAUCUGAUGCCAACAGUUGUGCAAAGGUUAGGGAACCAAGAAAUAGUGGAAACGUCAGAGGAACUUAGGUUGAGCCUUGUUAAUUUACUUGUGAAGCUCACCCAGUUAACAAAAAAGAAACUUGCUGCUUACCUUGAUGACUUGAUAAAAAUUCUGCAACGAACUGUUGUGGAUCCAUUUCCAGACGUCCGCAAAGAGAGUUGCAGGUGCAUCAGUCUUGUGGCUCGUGCCAUUCCUGAGCAUUUUCACAUGCAGUCUGAGAGUCUCAUUGCACCCCUGCUGCAUUGCAUUAGCCACCAACAUGCAAAAGUUCGCACACUGUGUAUCCUGACUAUCGGCGAUGUUUUGCAAUUCGGCAGCCACAAGCCCAUGGACCAAGUCAUAUCGCACCUUGCGCAGAGGCUGUUUGACCAGUCGCCACAGGUGCGAGUAGCUGUGACUAAUGUUGUGGGUGGAUGGCUAUUGGACUUUGUGGACCGUUACUCCUAUCAUCAUAAGCUGAUUCCACUCUUACUUACCAGCCAGACUGAUGAGAUGCCAGAUAUACAAGAGAGGGCUUUCAAACUUUGGGAUGAGGUUGGAACCAAAUACGCCAAGGAGAAUGAGGAGGAACUGAAAGACCAGAUGGACUUUGAAAGGAUUAUAGAGUUACCUCCUGGAGAAACGAGAAGACCUAACCUGGGCUGCCGUAUGCUGAUCUUCCGCAACCUGUCAAAGAUCCUGCCAGGCCUUUUGCACGAUCUGACCGACUGGACCGCGUCCAAUCGCAUCAUGUCGGCCAAGCUGUUACGGGUGCUGCUGCUGAAUGCGGAGGACCACACCACACAGCACAUGGAGAAACUCCUGUCGGGAAUGUACAAGGCCUGUGGCGAUGAAGAGAAAGAAGUAGUGGCAAAGAUGCUCCAGUCGGCAGAGCUUGUAGGCUUCUUUGUGGACCCACAGAUCUACUGGAAGUUGAUGUCGCCCUCUGUCCAGUCCGCUCAGAGCCCCGGCGUGCUGAUGACUUUGGCUGCGUUGAUGCGUGGCUCAAGGCAGGAGGCCCUUCACCCACAGCUGCAGAGUGUGUGCGACGUGUUGGCCGAUCCCGAAGUCUGUCGUAGUGAACAGAGCUCCUACCAGAUCCAACUUGUGUCGUGUGUUGAAGCCAUCAUGUCCACAGGCAGGGAGCAGUGCUCAGAAGUCAGUCUGCCAUUGUUUACUGUACUCGUCACUGUGUUGGCGUUGGCAAGGGAUGACGCACUGAAGACAAAAACCAGGGAAGUUAUAGCAUCUCUUGCCUCGACGCAAGGCAUGGAGGACAGCAGCGCCCUCUACAGGCAGCACAGCCGCCAGUUCCUUGCCAUGCUGAAGGGAAACUACGAGCAGUGGACAAAUUUUUCAGUGGAGCGGCCAAUCUUUGACACUUUGCUGAGCGAAUCUGGUGUGUUGGUAUGUGAGCUCCUGGAUGACGUCUUCCCCGUCCUGCAGGCCAACCUCAAGCCAGAUAAAGACCCCGAGCUGCGGCUCAAGUUCUUCUCCCUGCUCUCGCGGCUGGUGAUGAGAGCGGGUGAGUUGGCCGAGGCCAGAGCAAUAUUUGGCGACUUCUCGCCGGCUGUCGUCCGGGAGAUGGUCAUCCCCAACUGCGUGUGGCACGGUGGCCGGACGGCGGCGGCCAUUCGGACCACAGCCAUCUCGUGCCUCUGGGCACUGCUGCAGAGCGGCCUGCUGACCGCUGAACAGAUCAACAGCGUCAUGUCGGACCUCCAAACCCAGCUGACCUCCCUCUUGGAGGAUGACAGCCGCUCAACCCGCCUCAUCACCUGCCGCGUCUUCCGCAAGAUCCUAGCCCUCUGCGGCUCCACCUUUGACCCUGACCGCCUGCACACGAUGUACAUGGAGCUCCUGAAGCGCAUGGACGACAGCAGUGACGAGAUCCGCCUGGCCGUGGCCAAGACCUUUGAGACGUUCUUCCAGUGCUUCCCCGCCGACUAUGAUAAGGUUCUGUACAGGGCGCACCUGGAGACGUUGUAUAGAGGCCUGUUGGUGCAUAUGGACGACCCAGAUCCUAAUAUACAGCAGUCAGUCCUAGAUUUGUUGAAGCAGGCCGCCCCUCUGCACCCUCAGCUUUUGCAAGAGGAGGUGGAAAUGGUCCGACACAAGCAUCGCAGUUUUGUGUUCUGUGACGAGCUCCUCCAAUACAUCAAAACUCUCAGUUGAUGAAUGGAACCUGAAGGACACUGGAGAGUUGGUCAUCAGGAGAGCAACCAGUUGGGCAUAAACCAAGAACUGUUUGGCUGGACCGCUGGAUCUACGCUUUAUGCAGAGUGGAUCAAGUCUUUGGUGAUUGGACAUCAGGUGAACUUGUCUGUCUCCUCUUCAUGAGGACAGGAAUUGUUCUGCUUGCAUGAGGUGAAACUCCGUCACUGGACUUUCAAGUUCCUCCAGUCUCCAAGCAGGAGUUGUGGUUGCGGGACUGUUUGCUGUGAAACUGUAAUAGGCCCAGGCCUUUUGAACCUGUGUGGUUGUUGUGGAGACUUCAAAAAGAAAGUGAACUGAGCUAGCUACAUGUAGUCUCGCCACAAGUACGGAUUUGGGACUUGAUUGUACCAAGUGAAAUCAAGAACUCCUAUCCUUAAAUAUAAGAGGCCUUAAAGCUUUGUGUAGGCUACCUGUAUACCGGUAUUGUUUGAUUUGUGAAAGAUAAAAAAUUGGAAUUUUCUAUGUCAGAUUGUUGGCAUAAAUAAGUACGUAGGCCUACUACAGAUGACACUUGUAGCGGACGGCCCGUCCCAGUUUGCCCUUAAGCGAACUUUUGCGGUUGAAAUUUUCCGCAACACUAAGUGUUAGGAAAUCUUUGCAGGCACUGUCCUUUGGUGUAUUAUUGUAUCCUGCAAAAACACAUCUUGUCGGCAUUUUAGCUAUUCAGAACCGAAUUCUAAAGAGUUUUUGGUGAGAAAUACUGUGUGAUUCAUAGGUCGGUCCACAUGUAAAGCAGCACGGUCGCGAGGUCAGUGGUCCCAGCGUUACAUGAUCGGGUUCUUUACGGGACGUCAUAGACCACGUGACCAUUUAUUCACCAUUUACGGUGGUCAAAAGUGGGGGCGUGAAAAUGCGCAAAAACAAUGUCAAAAUCAGCAGAACCGAUAGAAACAAAUGAGAAAGCGUUGUAUUCUUUUUUAUAUUUAGUACAGGUUUAUUAAACACUAUAAUGGUCUUGAAUAACAGGGAACCUUUAAAGUUUUUUGCUGUCCUCAUUGAUGUUCCAGAUUUUGAUGGUGAUUUUCCCUGUACAAGAUUGUUUCGACUAAAGUUUUGCAGUUCAGCGUUUUAAAGUAAGUGUGGUUCAUCCAUCUGUCUGAUCCAACGUGUGUUGAUCCCCCUCCCAUGUGGGCCACGAGGCUUACAUUUCAAGGCGACCUUGCCAGGACCUCAUAAUAAUUUUUUGGGGGGGCCAGCUCCGUUUCUCUCGGCAAUAAACAACGGGGGACACAUUUUAUUCUGGUGCCAAAUAGAUACAUGUACACAAUAGUAGGGUCAUUUUGAGAGCCAUAGGCUGAGAAUUGGUAUUUUCUUGUGCUGGGUCUUAGCAGAGUGCAUUUUUUUUUAAUUUGAAAUUUUGUGUAAAACAUGGCGGACAGUGGUGACAUUUUGCAGUUUCGUUCUGGGUUGUGCACUUCCUCUUUCCAGUGAAGAACCGUUGUCUUUUUUGAAAGAGUCAAUUACUCGAGGCCCAAUUAAAGAAGGUUAACCGCCUAGUCGAUGUCUCCUGUUAGGAGUGGCGAGAAACAACGAAUCUUCUAUGUGAGUUUCAUUGUGAGGUUGGUGAAGCGACCCUCCCUGUUUCAGGAGAUAUUACUGUCCCUAUUGAUGGCAAGGAAGUGGUGCUGCGAAUAUACCUUUUGAACCCCACUGGGAACUUUAAGAGUCGGGUCUUAGUGAAGGACAUUGUGGAGGAGCAAGGUGCAUCCAAACCCCAGAAAGGAGAGCCUUCCAAGAGUUCCUUGAGCAAAGCCAUGUCUUUGUGUGCAGUAAUAGUGGGCGGAAGCUACGUCCUUUCUCCGCUCUUAAGACUCCUGCCAAGGACGAGGACAGCUUUGACACAUGGAUUGAACUUGUUCAGGGGCAACUGGAAGAGGAAUCUGAGGAUUCUGAGAAGAGAUGACAUUUGAGAGGUUCUCCGCCCCCCUGCUGCCAGUAUCAUCACUGACCUCGUUGAGAGCACCCUCAAGCUUCGGAAUACCUUGCUUUUCUGGAGCUAGCAUUCGGAAGUACAGAGUCACCUCAGGAGCUGAGCCUUUUGUUUCACUCUACACAUCAAUGUCGUGGUGAGUCCCUUCAGAGCAUCUCACUAGACUCCAGGUGUAUAUUGAGGAAGUUGGAACGAAAGGGUGCGGCUCAAAAGGAAAAGUCAGACUCACUUCUAAUUGAGCACUUUAUAAAGGGAGUGCUUAUCAACGAAAUUUUGUUGGUGAAUUUUAGGUUGAAAGAUCUGAAGAAGAGCCCUCCUACCUACCUGACAUUGCUUCAGUUGGUGAGGAGAGAGGAAGCAGAACAGCAGGCUAAGAUGAGCUGAAGAGGAGAAGGGGAUGUGAGUGUUGUCGAGGCAAACCCUAAGCAGGCCAGGAGUCAGGUGCAAGCUGCCAAGAAACCAGUCAAGCGUAGACAACAUGAUGCACGUUCAAGAGUCUGUUACCGAUGUGGUGAAGACGGCCACUACAAGACAAAGUGCGACAAACCUGAGAACCUACGGAGGAUAUUUUGCCCGACGAUUGUGAUCCAUGCCAUCCAAGCAUGAUCUAGUUUUGUUGAGGCUCCACAAGAGUAUCCCCUCGAAAGCAACUGUAUUUGCGUUGGGCAUUUUCCGACGCAGAUAAUCCAGCCCUGCAAAAAUCCUCUCUGUCGAUAUGUCAUCUUUAGGGCAGGAUGUCGUUUGCUGUCGAAUUUCAUCAGAGGCAUUAUGAAAUCGACCGCCAGGAAGAUGAUCGGCAAGUUGACGAGAGAUGCACACCAUGAAGUUGUGAAAUAUGAGGGGGCUUGCUUUGUGAGAUUUUCGAUGGACUCUGUUGUUACUGCAUAGAGAGACUUGUGGACGUCAUUUUUAGCUGGUGGAAAUUCUGGGAAAAGUAAAGAAUAGGACUUGGAUCUAUCAUCCACUCUUCAACUUUGUCAUUUAAACGUGUAUGAAAUCUAUCUGUAUCCAUAUGUAUGCUGCUCUCAAUCAUUUUCAUCAUGGGAGUUGAUACAUGUUGAAAAAAACAUGCCCAUGGCCCUCAUACCUGCUGGAAUAAUAUCGUCAUCUUGGUCAGCUUUCAGGGACUUGACAAACAUGUUAGCUUCUCUCGAUAGGUCCAAUGAUGAGCAAAGUUGAUAAAAGUGGUCUCUGUGAUGAAAAACUGCAGCCGAGUUUGAAAACAGAAUGUUAAAUCUGUUGCCUCUGUGUGCUUCUAGAUGGGAUUUCUCAACUACAGCCUUAAACUCCUCAACCAUUCCAGAUUGCUCUCAGCAGUCUGGCCCAAGAAAAUUGCAAAAAGAACGCACUGUUAAAAGUGAUGCGGAUUCUGUCUUCCCUCUUUUCCACUGGAAUUCCCUCUUCCAAUGUUACCAUCUUCGGCCUCAAUCUUUUCCCACUCACAAAGAGCAGCUGCUGCAUAUUCCUGUCAAUUCAAAACUAGGUGUUUGCAGAUCAUUGAUUGUGGCCAUCUCUUGUUUGGUGUCGUCGCUGAUUCUUUACUUGUUUUGUCACCUUUUUUUUGCUGUCUUACUUGCCUUACCGCUGUUCUUGAAACGCCUUCUCGAAUCACCUUUUGCUUUUUUGUCUCUCUGUAAACACCUAAUUUUUUUCUUCCAGUUUCUGGAUUUUCAUGUUUAGUUUCUGCUUUUCUCUGACCCCCUCAGCCAGUUCCUUUUCUUUUUUCUCCAGCUCUGCAUCUAUCAGUCCCAAAUUCGGGAUUUGUAGAAAUAUUUCUAUGAU